RNAcentral lists this unclassified non-coding RNA (356 nucleotides) under Basidiomycota sp. RNAcentral describes it as "partial contains small subunit ribosomal RNA, internal transcribed spacer 1, and 5.8S ribosomal RNA". The record is from RNAcentral. Lineage: Eukaryota; Fungi; Basidiomycota.
AAUGUUGUAAUAAGGUUUCCAUAGGUGAACCUGCAGAAGGAUCAUUAUUGAAUAUUCUUGAUGGGUUGUAGCUGGCUCUUUGGGGCAUGUGCACACCUGUCUUGACUUUAUUCAUCCACCUGUGCACCUUCUGUAGUCUUGGGGGUUGAGAGCAGUCAGUAAUCGGAUGACCAGUAGUCACUCUGGAUGUGAGGAAUGCUGUGCGAAAGCAUACAGCUCUUCUCAAAGUGACUUGUAAACCUCUCCUUCAAGUACUAUGUAUUCAUAUACCCAUAGUAUGUUGUAGAAUGUGAUGAAUGGGCCUAAGUGCCUAUAACAAUCUUAUACAACUUUCAGCAACGGAUCUCUUGGCUCUC